RNAcentral lists this ribosomal RNA (519 nucleotides) under uncultured bacterium. RNAcentral's name for it is "bacterial SSU rRNA". It matches the Rfam family "Bacterial small subunit ribosomal RNA", at positions 35 to 539 of the family's 1533-position model. The record is from RNAcentral.
CUGCUGGCGGCAGGCCUAACACAUGCAAUGUCGAGCGGCAGCACGGGAAGCUUGCUUCCUGGCGGCGAGCGGCGGACGGGUGAGUAAUGCAUAGGAAUCUGCCCGGUAGUGGGGGAUAACCUGGGGAAACCCAAGCUAAUACCGCAUACGUCCUACGGGAGAAAGCAGGGUGCUCUUCGGACCUUGCGCUAUCGGAUGAGCCUAUGUCGGAUUAGCUAGUUGGUGAGGUAAAGGCUCACCAAGGCGACGAUCCGUAGCUGGUCUGAGAGGAUGAUCAGCCACAUCGGGACUGAGACACGGCCCGAACUCCUACGGGAGGCAGCAGUGGGGAAUAUUGGACAAUGGGCGCAAGCCUGAUCCAGCCAUGCCGCGUGUGUGAAGAAGGCCCUCGGGUUGUAAAGCACUUUCAGUGGGGAAGAAAGCCUCGCGGCUAAUAUCCGCGAGGAAGGACAUCACCCACAGAAGAAGCACCGGCUAACUCCGUGCCAGCAGCCGGGGUAAUACGGAGGGUGCGAGCGU